AAUCAACGCUGGCGGCGUGCCUAACACAUGCAAGUCGAACGAGAAAGUGGGGGCAACCCUGCGAGUACAGUGGCAGACGGGUGAGUAACACGUGAACAACCUACCCUUGAGUGGGGAAUAACACCGCGAAAGCGGAGCUAAUACCGCAUAACAUCUUGAGCUCGCAUGGGCGAGAGAUCAAAGCCGAAAGGCGCUUGAGGAGGGGUUCGCGGCUGAUUAGCUAGUUGGUGAGGUAACGGCUCACCAAGGCGACGAUCAGUAGCCGGCCUGAGAGGGCGAACGGCCACACUGGAACUGAGACACGGUCCAGACUCCUACGGGAGGCAGCAGUGGGGAAUUUUGCGCAAUGGGCGAAAGCCUGACGCAGCAACGCCGCGUGGAGGAUGAAGGCCUUCGGGUCGUAAACUCCUGUCGACGGGGAAGAAAGCCGAAAGGUUUGACUGUACCCGUUGAGGAAGCCACGGCUAACUCCGUG
RNAcentral lists this ribosomal RNA (475 nucleotides) under uncultured bacterium. RNAcentral's name for it is "bacterial SSU rRNA". It matches the Rfam family "Bacterial small subunit ribosomal RNA", at positions 29 to 507 of the family's 1533-position model. The record is from RNAcentral.